CGGCGCUGACAGAGAAUCUUAAGGAGUGCUCGGCCUCCUGGUCGCGGCUCCGGCCUGAAGGAAUCAGUAACACCGUGGCCGACAAUAGCGGGGUGGGUGACACCAGGGCCCCCUCUAGCCCAGGUCAAUCCCAGUGCUCAAGCACUUAAGCCCCUGCUGCGUUCGGGAAUGUUCUGGGGAGCCUCAAAGCUGAGCACCAGGGCGCAGCCGCAGCCUCCCGCAUUCUCCUGCACUAGUGCACCGCCUGGGCUCCCUUUUGCCCCGAGUGAUUCAAUGGGCCUAAGACAAAUGGGCUUUUCUGCACCCAGGCCUCUGGGAAGGUCUCUGUUCCUAGUUAUCUAGACUUGGUCUGAUGGGCCCUGUUCUCUGAUCCUCGCGGGACAGAAAGGAAAAAAAUUCAGACAAAGGUCACAGCAGUGCCCUCCUUGUGUAAAAUUAGUCUGCUGGAGCCGGCUUCUCGGAUGAGGAGGCACAAAUUAUCCAGGAAGAAUCGGACUGUGUUUGGGCAUUGGGUUGAAGGUGGGAAAGAAUCUGAAAAUAAUCUCGUAUGUGAGCUUGAAAUGAACCGUUCAGCCACAGGACACACACUUAUCCCUUUACUUCCAGUUGCUUCCGAAUAAUUACCACUUCUCCAUCGGAGCAUCCUUCUGCCAACCGGGAUUAAUAGUCUAAGCGACUCCUGUGCGUAGGCCACCUAAGACCAGGUUCCUGUACUAAACCUGUCUUGGGACUGGGAAUUAGUGCUAGUGAAAGGAAGGAAAGGAAUUCAUUAAUAUUACUUCUUCUCUGUUACUUUUUUCUGCAAUGAAUCAAAAGCACCCGGAGAAGAAUAUGAUAUCGGAGAAGAAUAUGAUAUCGCAUGCCUGGACCUCGGGCUUAGCUUCCUUUUUCUGACCCUUCCUCAACCCGGCAUUCCCUCAUCAGAUUUGGAAUUCUCCUUAUGGGGAGUGGGCGGGGAAAUGGUCCAGGUAAGUAUGGGAGCCACAUGGUCUAGCGAAUUGAAAAAAGGAAAAUCAUCUCCAAAUGCAGUCAGGCAGGUGGGGGUAGAUGGAAGCCGAAAAAGAAUGGUAAAUCUGAAUUAUCCCGAAGACAGCAGACUCCAUACCGGGUGGUGAGGUGUGAGAAACAGUCAACAUUUAGAGCACUGGAGUCAGAAGUUUUGGCAGCUUUUAGAUAACUUCCUGAUCUGCAGUAAAGUUCACGUUACUGAGAGGAUGUUUCCGCUGUCUGUUGCCUGGCUUCUUUCUCUCCAAGUCUGGAAGUUCACGAGAUUUUACUGAGUCUCAAUUGAAAAUGGUACCGGCCCAGUGUAGUCCUGGCGAUCUGGUACUGCAUGGGUGGGACCCAGAUAGUGACUGGCUCACAGAGCUGUUGACUCCUCAGCUCUCACCUGCAAGGUGACUCCGAAGCUUCUGGUUUCCAAAUGGAGAAUCCAGCUGUCCUCCUCUAGCUGUCAACCUUUUUCUGACCUUCCCCAAAUGGUCCAAACUUUCUCUCCCUCUCUCUCUCUCUCUCUCUCUCUCUCUCUCUCUCUCUCUCUCUCUCUCUCUGUGUGUGUGUGUGUGUGUGUGUGUGUGUAAAAUUCCAAGCGUCUUCCGAGGCCUCGGCGCCUUCCGGCUUCGGCAGCCCUGUUUCUGGAAUGUGAUCAUGCAUAAUUAGGGCCUGACCACUAUGGAAAUAUAUACAAGAUGUUUUCUUUCUUUACUGGAAAAAAAAAUUUUUUAAAGAGAUAUGGCGCACUCUGCGGGGCUCCCUGCGAAGCAGCGCUCACCUAGAGGGCCUACCACCUGCCGACCUUGAACCGACUCCUGCUGGGAGAGGGCUGGCGGGUGGAGCUCAGAUCCUGGCAGUUCCCCCACCAUUCAAGCCGGGGUUGCGUCUUGGGGUUCCCCCGCGGCCAGUACAGGUCUCUCCUCUUGUCCCUAUGGCCAGUGGACCUCGAGUCGCUCUCCAAGUCAUACACGUGGGAGCUGAUCCACGCUGCAGGAGAGGAAGGGAAAUCGGUGCUCCUUCUGUAACUCAAGAGCUUUAGCAUGGGUUCCGGCCAGUUUGGAGAGACGGUCCCCCGCGGCAGUCGAACAUUGGCUUCGCUGAGGUGCUGCAGCGGUUGGGUGCGGGGAAUAAACAACUGUCUGAAUAACUAUUGCAAGUAUACAACGGGGGACCUUGCUCGACAAGAUCAGAGAAUGCACGGGGGACCUUGCUCGACAAGAUCAGAGAAUGCACGUGGAGGCAAGACUGAGAAGGAGCUUGUAAGACCUCAGGGAAGGAGUGAAUUUGGCAGAAUCACAGGUCUCUGUGUGGGACUCCGGAUCUGAGAGGCUACCCCUCACAGUGGUAAGGAAAGAUGGUUGUCAGAUCACAUUUUUCCGAGUUUGUACAGCGAAAUGCGAGGUUUUCCCGAAAACUAGAAGAAAUACAGAGUGAUGAGGAUGACCAAGUCUAGAAGGGGUACUUCCCCAAUGUUUAGCAAAUAUCCCGUUUUGCAAAGACAAAGACAAAAAGGUCCAGAUGAUGUCGACUAGAGAUAACAAAGCUAGUCCAGAAGCCAAGACCCUAUCCACUUGUACCUGACUCCGAAUCGCAUACAGCACUUGCCACUCACUCUAAUAAGCGACUCUUAAGAACAUUCCUAAUUGUAUAAAAGUGGUGAGUCUGUCCAAACUCCAGACGGCUUUUAGAACUGUGUCAUAUUUAGUAAAAGAGAUUUACACUAAAUCCGCUGUGAAGGAAGAAACCAGGGUAGUAAGUUUUCUUAGGUAAGCCAGAAAUGUCUUCUAAUUCCCAACGACUAAUUGUUUCAAACAAUUAUUUUCCAGCCCCGCAUAACUGCAAACACCAGACCGCAGAGCCCAACCGGCGAUCACCACCUCCUACCGAAUCCAGCGGAUAUCCAAGAAGCGACUAUUGACACUGUCUCCUGUUGCGAUCACUGGCUCUCGUAGACUUUGCUCACUACCGGAGCUGCACUGUUUUUCUCAUUUGGAACCCUUUCUUUUUGGUCUUGGCUUAGGAAAUCACUCUGGUCAUUAAUAACUGCAAUAAGAUCACCGUGGCCCUAGUCACUCGGGAUGGCGAGGAGCCCAGAGGUUCCGCUGCCGUCGGCGGGCUCAGUCCGUUCCUCCGGUGGGGGAAAGCCUACACUGGACCUGCCUGUGCCACCCAGGGCUUUUCUCACUCCAUCUCCUAGCCGCCCCUGGCUUUCCCUGGCUGCGCCAGUGGGUAAGGCCUCCAGGACACUAGACCCACUUGUCUGCUAAUGUGCGGUUUCCAGGCCAAGAACUCCAGAGAUACUGAACAAGGAAUGUGGGCUCUAGAAAGAACGUGGAGAAAAUCAGAGAAGCGCUUCAGCUAGGGUUGUUGGAAACAGGCGAAAUUCUGAGAGCCUUUUGAAAUUUGUGCCCGAUUCUUUUCCUUGUUUUAUUCCUUUCCCUCUCUCUUCACAUGCUUUCAUGUUCUUUAAAUUUUCCUCUUGACUUUCUUGAGUUUUAGAGUUCCCAAGCCGCUGGAGUCCCUGUGAGAAGAGAAAAUGUCACUUUGGGAUCACUGGUGUCCUCAGAGAAGGGAAGACCAAGUUCAAUUGUAAUUGGCAACUUAAUCCCAGUCUCACGUUCUUGUGGUCAGCUUCUUCCGCCCUGUGUUCCUAAAGUGGAGCCACCAGCCACAUACAACAGCAGAAACUAUGUGCAGAGGAUGGUAAGGACAGAAAGACAGCAAUGCAGUGCUGCUUCUUGAACUUCGUUUCACUUGUCUGUCAGUCUUAAUUGUCUUCACUGAGUUAAUCAAUAACUGUAACUGAGGAAAAUAAAUCACUGUAGAGCCUCAUUCUCCCAUCUCAAGGACUAUAAAAUAACUUAAUGCACACUUGUAGGGUUAAAAAGUAGCAUCAAAUGACCACUCAUUUAGCUACCUCUAGGUUUGAAAUAGUUUUCCAGGUUGGCAUGCCUGUAAUCCCAGCAACUCGGGAGGCUGAGGCAGGAGGAUCAUGAAUCAAAGCCUACCCCAGCAGAUUAGCAAGGCACUUAGCAACUCAGCAAGACCCUGUCUCUAAAUUAUAUAUAUAUGGCUGGGGAUGUGGCUCAGCGGUUAAGCAGUCCUGGGUUCAAUCCCUGGUAUCAAAAAAAUAAAAAAUAAAAAAAAGUUUUCCAGGAGAAAUUAGAGUCCAGAAUCUUUAGAGUAGCCAAAAAACAAAACAAAACAAGAUAGGAACUGUACCUGAUAUACCCACAUAAUAUCACUUCCAUGCACAAAGGGAGGGAGAAAUGGUUCAACAGGGAUAUGUGUAGCUUCAAGAACAAUUUAUCCUUAAUGCCCACCUGGGGUUAGUGGCUGCCUCAAAGAGAAGAAGGCAAGGUCCCUCUCCCCAGAUUUGUUUGUUUGUUUGUUUACGUUUUUGGUGACUGGGGAUCUUGCUCAGCCCCAGCAUAUCAAGAAAGUAAAAGGAAGGUGGGGGGUGUGGGGAGAAAGUAGCUAGAUAAUGGAGAAUAUCUAUACUGGGAUUGUCUUUGUAGAAGAGGAAGUGUGUAUAAUGGGAUGUGGGUUUCUCCCCAAGCAAUCCCUAUACUACAGAUGCCUCUCCCAGUAGGCCUGCAUACUGGCUGCCUACAGGGAAGCUUCCUGGCUUUGCCUGUUCUGUUUCAUCCCUCCUGCCUUCUGGAGAUUUCUCAACUCCAAAAGCUAAGGCAUUUUCUCCAGAGUGUAAACAGUCACCAGCCUAUAUAGAUGAGAGAGAAAUCCAUGACACUGUAAAGCAACUACCGAAUAAGGGGUGGCAGGUAGGUAGAAGGGCAAAGAAUGGGAGGUAGAGCUUCUGGGGCUUUGCUUCCAAAGGCUGACACACACUCAGUCCUCUCCCAGCUUAGGGUUAGGUGAUCCCUUCUGCUUACUGAACAA
This 4893-nucleotide long non-coding RNA is filed under the name Marmota monax (woodchuck). The record is from RNAcentral. Lineage: Eukaryota; Metazoa; Chordata; Mammalia; Rodentia; Sciuridae.